UUCUCAUAAUUCACUGAAAGUCAACACGGACUCUGAUAAAGUGUGAUACCAUGAAUUUUAUUUUUUCGGUUUUCAUCUCAAUCGGUUUGGGUAUUUUAAUUUAUUUGUCCUUCCAAACAAAGUGCAGCAGCAACGAUGAUUGUCCUGGACAGCAAAUCUGUCUUGGUGAUAAGUGCCUCUAAUAAUAUUUAUUAGUAGAUGUGUCCGUGUGUUUAACCCAUGCACUGAAUUUGUAUUUGUACAUUAUCAGUGUUAGGGUACUCAGAUAAUUAAACAAUGUCAUUCAAUCCAAAAUGAAUAAAGAAGAUCAAUUAUAAAAAUGGAA
Tetranychus urticae (two-spotted spider mite) is the source of this 325-nucleotide non-coding RNA. The record is from RefSeq and is a predicted model, not a curated record. NCBI's taxonomy places the organism in Eukaryota, Metazoa, Arthropoda, Arachnida, Trombidiformes, Tetranychidae.